CCCUUAGAUGUUCUGGGCCGCACGCGCGCUACACUGAUGCAUUCAACGAGUCUAAAACCUGGUCUGAUAGGGCUGGGUAAUCUUUUGAAUGUGCAUCGUGAUUGGGAUAGAUGAUUGCAAUUCUUCAUCUUCAACGAGGAAUGCCUAGUAAACGCAAGUCAUCAGCUUGCAUUGAUUACGUCCCUGCCCUUUGUACACACCGCCCGUCGCUCCUACCGAUUGAAUGUUCCGAUGAAUACCAUGGACUGAGAGUAUGAAUGGGUUCGCCUAUUUCUGCUUCUCGGGAAGUGGAGUAAAUCUUAACAUUUAGAGGAAGGAGGAGUCGUAACA
This 330-nucleotide ribosomal RNA is filed under the name uncultured eukaryote. Its description in RNAcentral is "partial 18S ribosomal RNA". It matches the Rfam family "Eukaryotic small subunit ribosomal RNA", at positions 1470 to 1796 of the family's 1831-position model. The record is from RNAcentral.